RNAcentral lists this ribosomal RNA (406 nucleotides) under uncultured bacterium. Its description in RNAcentral is "partial 16S ribosomal RNA". It matches the Rfam family "Bacterial small subunit ribosomal RNA", at positions 29 to 526 of the family's 1533-position model. The record is from RNAcentral.
AUUGAACGCUGGCGGCAGGCCUAACACAUGCAAGUCGAACGAGUGGCGGACGGGUGAGUAAUGUCUGGGAAACUGCCCGAUGGAGGGGGAUAACUACUGGAAACGGUAGCUAAUACCGCAUACCAUCGGAUGUGCCCAGAUGGGAUUAGCUAGUAGGUGGGGUAAUGGCUCACCUAGGCGACGAUCCCUAGCUGGUCUGAGAGGAUGACCAGCAAAACGGGAACGGAGACACUGGCAAGACUCCUACGGGAGGCAGCAGGGGGGAAUAUUGCACAAGGGGGGAAAGCCUGAGGCAGCCAGGCCGCGUGUAUGAAGAGGGCCUUCGGGUUGUAAAGUACUUUCAGCGAGGAGGCGUUACUCGCAGAAGAAGCACCGGCUAACUCCGUGCCAGCAGCCGCGGUAAUUC